GAUGAACGCUGGCGGCGUGCCUAAUACAUGCAAGUCGAGCGAACGGACGAGGAGCUUGCUCCUCUGACGUUAGCGGCGGACGGGUGAGUAACACGUGGAUAACCUACCUAUAAGACUGGGAUAACUUCGGGAAACCGGAGCUAAUACCGGAUAAUAUAUUGAACCGCAUGGUUCAAUAGUGAAAGACGGUUUUGCUGUCACUUAUAGAUGGUUCCGCGCCGCAUUAGCUAGUUGGUAAGGUAACGGCUUACCAAGGCAACGAUGCGUAGCCGACCUGAGAGGGUGAUCGGCCACACUGGAACUGAAACACGGUCCAGACUCCUACGGGAGGCAGCAGUAGGGAAUCUUCCGCAAUGGGCGAAAGCCUGACGGAGCAACGCCGCGUGAGUGAUGAAGGUCUUCGGAUCGUAAAACUCUGUUAUUAGGGAAGAACAAAUGUGUAAGUAACUAUGCACGUCUUGACGGUACCUAAUCAGAAAGCCACGGCUAACUACGUG
Molecule: ribosomal RNA, 497 nt
Filed under: uncultured bacterium
Lineage: Bacteria
Description: partial 16S ribosomal RNA
Rfam family: Bacterial small subunit ribosomal RNA
Source: RNAcentral